AUUGAACGCUGGCGGCAGGCCUAACACAUGCAAGUCGAACGAGCGGCGGACGGGUGAGUAAUGUAUGGGGAUCUGCCUGAGUGAGGGGGAUAACUACUGGAAACGGUGGCUAAUACCGCAUACCAUCAGCUGAACCCAUAUGGGAUUAGCUAGUAGGUGGGGUAAAGGCUCACCAAGGCGACGAUCUCUAGCUGGUCUGAGAGGAUGACCAGCCACACUGGAACUGAGACACGGCCCAGACUCCUACGGGAGGCAGCAGUGGGGAAUAUUGCACAAGGGGCGCAAGCCUGAUGCAGCCAUGCCGCGUGUAUGAAGAAGGCCUUAGGGUUGUAAAGUACUUUCAGCGGGGAGGCGUUACCCGCAGAAGAAGCACCGGCUAACUCCGUGCCAGCAGCCGCGGUAAUAC
Molecule: ribosomal RNA, 406 nt
Filed under: uncultured bacterium
Lineage: Bacteria
Description: partial 16S ribosomal RNA
Rfam family: Bacterial small subunit ribosomal RNA
Source: RNAcentral